Molecule: long non-coding RNA, 1120 nt
Organism: Bombus pascuorum
Lineage: Eukaryota; Metazoa; Arthropoda; Insecta; Hymenoptera; Apidae
Exons: 2
Source: RefSeq, a predicted model, not a curated record
AAAAAAGAAAAAUUAAUUGUUUACUAUAUUUCUUUUAGAGAAAAAAGAGAAUAUUCUCUUUCAAAUGAUAAUGGAUCAGUGGAAUGAUUUUAAUAUAUACACCAUUUAGAUUUAAUGUUAACCCUUGAUACAAAAUUCAAAUCCAGAGACAGUGUGGAUAAAAACCUAAGCCACAUUGACAAUUGUCAGCAGCAUGCGUUCGUAGUCAAUCUAUAUAUAUCAGUUCCACCGUGCGAUGAUAAGAUUUAUGACCUGGUAUUUACUACUGAGGCAAGGAAAGGCGAAAGUAUAAAAUUUGAAAAUAUGUCUAUGACGAUCAUUUUUCACCCGAAAUAUACAAAGCAAAUCCUACAAAAAAUAGACUACAAAUAGAAAAAAGAUGUUUUGAUGAAUAAUGCCGCACUCGACCACCAAAAGUUUAUUAGAAAAUGAAGAAGAAAAACAAGAUGUACAAGAAAGAUAGCUCAUAAUCGGAAAACAUCUGGUGAGAAAAGAAGAAAAAUAAGAAAAAAAAGAACGACAUCGACAGCAUCACUGCCAUUACCAACAAUAGCAAGAGGCAGGUGAAGGAGAAGUAAAAGAAGGAGGAAAUGAAUUAUUUAUUAAUAAGCCAAUGCUGGACUAUACAAAAGUGCCGUUAAGAUUUUGUGACAAUGAGAAUUCAAUGGAAUGACUAGCAAUUGAACUGCGGACAAACUGUGAUGUACAAAUUGAGCCGGCUUAUGAAACAAUGGUGCUCUGUAUCUCUCAUUUUCUGAAGAACCAAUUCCUUCAAUUUUAGAUUCGAUUUUAGAAGCAUCCAUUUUCCUUCGAUUUUAGAAGCAUCCAAAGGAGAGGCUUCCGUUAAAGCUGAGGGAAAGUGCUGCGCCCGAGAAGACACUAAAAAAGAAGGACGCAAGUCUCAAGAGUUAUGAGGAAGGGCAAAAAGCAAUUGGGAUUUCCUCGAAGGUAGAAAUUUACACUUGAAUAGGUACAAGUGUCUCGCUUAAAGGUUUUGGAUGGUUUUCCUUUAUAAGAUGGUCUAUUGGUAUAGAGAUACCAUACAUAUAAGGUAUAUCUGAUAUUUAUAAAUGUAUUGGUUAUUUUCUUCAUUGUUUGUUAAUAAAUUAUUAUAUUCUGA